AGAGUUGGUCGAGACAGUCGCUAGCGUGUUUCACGUUAGAGGAAAGUCCGGGCUCCACAGGGCAGAGUGCCAGGUAACACCUGGGAAGCGUGAGCUUAUGGAAAGUGCAACAGAAAGUAUACCGCCCGCUUGCGGGUAAGGGUGAAAGGGUGCGGUAAGAGCGCACCGCGCGGUUGGUAACAAACGUGGCAAGGUAAACCCCGCUUGGAGCAAGACCAAAUAGGAGAGCAGGCGAAAGCAACAUGUGGCCCACAUGGCUCUCGGGUAGGUCGCUAAAGGCGUAUGGUGACAUACGCCGUAGAUGAAUGGCUGUCCACGACAAAACCCGGCUUACUGACUAACUCUCACU
This 349-nucleotide RNase P RNA is filed under the name Gammaproteobacteria bacterium. Its description in RNAcentral is "RNase P RNA component class A". It matches the Rfam family "Bacterial RNase P class A". From Rfam's summary of the family: Ribonuclease P (RNase P) is a ubiquitous endoribonuclease, found in archaea, bacteria and eukarya as well as chloroplasts and mitochondria. Its best characterised activity is the generation of mature 5'-ends of tRNAs by cleaving the 5'-leader elements of precursor-tRNAs. Lineage: Bacteria; Pseudomonadati; Pseudomonadota; Gammaproteobacteria. The record is from RNAcentral. RNAcentral also lists the same sequence under 1 other name.